GGGGCGGCGCCGGAGCGGGGAGAGCCGGGCCUGGCUGUAAACCAGGUGUCUCGUACUGAGUGGGUUCGAAUCCCACCCGCCCCACCA
This 87-nucleotide transfer RNA is filed under the name Actinomadura barringtoniae. RNAcentral's name for it is "tRNA-Tyr". It matches the Rfam family "tRNA". From Rfam's summary of the family: Transfer RNA (tRNA) molecules are approximately 80 nucleotides in length. The record is from RNAcentral. Lineage: Bacteria; Bacillati; Actinomycetota; Actinomycetes; Streptosporangiales; Thermomonosporaceae.